CAUGCGCCAGGAGCAGGGAGAGACAGGCUGGCGGAGAGACAGGACGCACGGAGGCCGCCAGACUCCGAAGAACCUGGCCCCAUGAAGGAAACAGAGAUCAACUUAGCUGCCCUGUGACUGCUCCCAUGCGUGUCAUUCUCCCCAAGACUUUUAUCUGUACAAUUUUACACACUCCAGACACUCCGAAGCCCAGGAAGGGCCAACACAGACAACGGUGGCUUUCAUCCUGGCGUGGCCAGUUAUCUGGAUUCUUCUUCCACACCUGACCUACCCUACGUGGAUGUACAGGCACCCUUCAGCCAAGAUGAAUCUCCAAGUGAAGGCUUCUGAGAGGAGAAAGACUCAUUGUGACCUGGCAUUUCCCUUGAC
This is a long non-coding RNA of Budorcas taxicolor (takin), 369 nucleotides long. RefSeq lists it as uncharacterized. The transcript is spliced from 3 exons. Lineage: Eukaryota; Metazoa; Chordata; Mammalia; Artiodactyla; Bovidae. The record is from RefSeq and is a predicted model, not a curated record.